RNAcentral lists this ribosomal RNA (49 nucleotides) under Dictyosphaerium ehrenbergianum. RNAcentral describes it as "partial 28S ribosomal RNA". The record is from RNAcentral. Lineage: Eukaryota; Viridiplantae; Chlorophyta; Trebouxiophyceae; Chlorellales; Chlorellaceae.
UCGACCUGAGCUCAGGCAAGAUUACCCGCUGAACUUAAGCAUAUCAAUA